GCGCACUGGCACGAAACUCGCCCUACCCCCCCUACAAUCUUUCACUAUGGCUUCGCCCGAUGGCAGUCGGCGCGCGCGCGGGUGCUACCAAGCUGGUGUAGAGGGGGAGGCUCGCGGUGCUUCGUCGACAUCGACGCGGUUGUGCCGGGGCGCUGAGAGGGCGGCGGGUCAGCGUGCCCCCCCGCGGCGGCGGGGCGGUGUGGUAGGGCCCGGCGGUAGCGCCACAUCAGCCGGGCGGGAUGGCGGCCCGAGAGCGGCGGGGGAGCCGGCGGCGGCUGUGGCCGGGCGGCUUCCGAGCGUUGUUUUAGUGCCAUCGUGCUCUUUGUGGGUUUAAAAUAACAUUUUUCCUGAGGUACAAGAUGAUAGUAGCCGUGCCGUGCCAUCUCUGCCUGUCCCGUGAGAAGCCUUAAAGCAUCUCUGUUGUUUUGAGAAGCUCUUGCGGGCAGUGUUUGGGAAGCUGAGGCAGGCAGGCCAGCUGUGUAAUGUUCCCGGGAGUCACACGAUGGCAUCCGAACUCCGCUGCAGCUCCCCGGCUGAGUGUGUCCCUUCCCAGGGAAGGCAGCUCCCACGAAUGGAAACGAUGACUGGCACUUAGGGCAGCAGUUUUUUCCCCUCAUUACAUCGUGGUCGCUGACCAGCCCCUGACUUCCCGGUCAGCACCAGCACUGACUCUGAAGUGAACACUGGGUGCUGUUUCCUGCCAUCACAACCAUGUGUUUUCCCAAAUGUGAGGCAGGACAUUGCUGCUGGUCCACCCGUGGUCCCAGCUGGGUCCAGUAUUCCAUGGCUCUUCCAGGGAUGUGUAUGAGGUCUGUGUUGCUUUUGUUUCACCACUCCCACCGUUGUCUCUAUUGCUGAAAUGUGCAAUUUCUGCAGUUGCCCUUUUUUCUGUUUGCACUUUUCCAGUCCUUUGGUUAAGCUGUGGAUCUAAACACUGGAUUCUCCUUUCCCUGACAUUGCACGGGCUGCUCUUUGCACUUUCCUCUACUUUUCAGCAACUUUUGAUUUAUCUGCUCUUCCUUCCUUCUCCUUUUCCUUUCUCUGUUGAAAUUUCCCCUCAGUCCGUGGCCUGUCUCACUGCUAUUCUUUUUUCUUCCAGCCCUUACUCAGCAAUCUGAGGGAGAGUGGAACAACUUUUAAAAACGCAGAUUUUGGCACUGACAGCUGAAGCCUGUUCCUUUAAGUACUCCACAUGCAAAACUCCUAAUCAAUGGGAAAUGUGGGGGGAAAAAAUCUUGCAGGAAAGGCUUUUUAUAACACAGCUCUCCAACCAGCAGUGCCUCAUGAAUUUUAUUGCGUGCAGGUGAUCUGAGAAUAGUGGAGCUGACAGCUCUGUUUCCUAAACUGAAUUCUGAAGGAGUAAGCAAAUUCUUGUAUGAAAUUUCAUCUAAUCCUGACAGGACGUGCCCAGAAUGACACUCUGUGAGGCAGGGCCUGGGGUAGGGACCUAUUUCUGCAUUGCUUUUCUCACCUGGAGCCUGCUGGUUCAGCCCCUCUGCUCCGCUCUGGUGAGACCCAGCUGGAGUCGUGCACCCAGCUCUGGGGUCCCAGCACAGCAAGGACAGGACCUCUUGGAACAGGUCCAGAAGAGGACACUGAGAUGAUCAGAGGGAUGGAGCAGCACUCCUGAAGGAAAGGCUGAGAGAAUUGGAAUUGUUCAGCCUGGAGAAGAGAAGGUUUCGGGAUGACCUGACUGUGGCCUUUCAAUACCUGAAGGGGCCUGCAAGAAACAUGGAAAGAGACUUUUUACAACAGGGAAUGGCUUAAAAUUGAAAUAGAUUAGGUUUUGAUUAGAUAUGAGGAAAAAAAAUCUCUGCCCUGUGAGGGUGGGGAGGCCCUGGCAUGGAUUUCCCAGAGCAGCUGUGGCUGCCCCAUCCCUGGAGGUGUCCAAGGCCAGGUUGGACGAGGCUUGGAGCAACCUGGGCUAGUGAAAGGUCCCUGCCCACAGAACAGGGUUGCAACAAGAUGAUCUUUAAGGUCCCUUCCAACCAUUCUGUGACUCUCUGACAUGUGUCCUCUUUUUUCUUUAGUGUUUCUUUAUGCUCAAGGUUUUCCAGAAGCUUUUGCUGCAGUUACAGCAAAUACAGAAGUGUUCAAUAACUUACAUCAAGCAGACACUUUCUGGCCCUGUUGAAAAAUUAUUUCCGCAAUUGAAUUAUUUUCCACAGUAUUUUUCUUCAAGGCUCCAAAGCAAUCUUCAGUUGAGAAUAUCUUAUUUAUACCAAAUAAAUAGUUAUGCUAUUAGCUUAAGUACAGACCAAUCAAAAAUCUAUAGCUGAAUGAGCACAUGUUGAUUCCUCCAUUCAUUUUCUCCAAAAAUGCUAUAUAGGCGAAAAACCCUGCGGUGUUCAGAAGUGCUGAGCAUGCAAAACUCUGCUGGGCUGCUGUACAAACAUGAUUUGAAGGGCCUCUCAGCUUAAAUAAUGCCAUGCUUUUUUAAUUUUAUACACAGCUUUCGUCUGCACCCACGCUCGUGGGGUCUGAGCUGAAAUAGCACCGAGGGAGGAGGACAAGGAGAAUCACCCGACUCAUUCACGUCUUUGUAGCAGUACAAAAACUUUUCAUUGUGGUCACAGUUACCCCCGAAAUAAUUCUCACUUCAUCAUUUUCUGCUUUAGUUCUCUCUGCAUACAGUGGAGGUGGCUAUUUAGCUUCCCAUGAUUAAAAAAAUAUCAGGAAUAUUAAUUAGGGAAUGCAUCCAAUCCUAUGGACAUUGAAAACAUAAAGAAUUAUUAUGAAUUGUAACAUCUCAAUCUGGAGGUCCAAAAUCUAUAAGGGUUUUUUGUGUCUGAUGGCAUUUUCAGGAAAAACGGUACACUGUACAAAACAUGCACCUUUUUUCUCACCACUGUGAACCAUAUCAUUCCUGACUAAUAAAGUACAGGAAAUGGGAGAAAAAAACCACUAAUAAAAUGAGAGGUGUUUAUACAUGGA
Haemorhous mexicanus (house finch) is the source of this 2934-nucleotide long non-coding RNA. RefSeq lists it as uncharacterized. The transcript has 2 exons. The record is from RefSeq and is a predicted model, not a curated record. NCBI's taxonomy places the organism in Eukaryota, Metazoa, Chordata, Aves, Passeriformes, Fringillidae.